UACGGGGGGAGCAAGCGUUGUUCGGAUUUACUGGGCGUAAAGCGCACGUAGGCGGUUUGUUAAGUCAGGGGUGAAAUCCCGGAGCUCAACUCCGGAACUGCCUUUGAUACUGGCAAUCUUGAGUCCGGAAGAGGUGAGUGGAACUCCUAGUGUAGAGGUGGAAUUCGUAGAUAUUAGGAAGAACACCAGUGGCGAAGGCGGCUCACUGGUCCGGUACUGACGCUGAGGUGCGAAAGCGUGGGGAGCAACAGG
RNAcentral lists this ribosomal RNA (252 nucleotides) under uncultured bacterium. Its description in RNAcentral is "partial 16S ribosomal RNA". It matches the Rfam family "Bacterial small subunit ribosomal RNA", at positions 524 to 775 of the family's 1533-position model. The record is from RNAcentral.